AAAAACAUGUCUUUUUGAGAAUAAUUUGAAGUCUGACCUGCCCACUGAAUUAAUGAAUUUGAAGGGCCGCAGUAUAUUGACUGUGCAAAGGUAGCAUAAUCAUUAGUCUUUUAAUUGGGGACUGGUAUGAAUGGUUUAACGAAGUAUUAACUGUCUCAUUUUAAUAAAUUGAAGUUAACUUUUGAGUCAAAAGGCUUAAAUAAAGUUAGAGGACGAGAAGACCCUAUAGAGCUUUAUAAAUUUAAUAUAAAAUAUAAUUUGGAGGUUUUAUUAAUUUGAAUAUAAAAUUUAUUUUAUUGGGGUGAUAUGAAGAUUUAAUAAACUCUUCUUGAAAUCAAACAUUGAUUAAUGAAUAAUUGAUCCAUUUUUAGUGAUUAUAAGAUUAAGUUACCUUAGGGAUAACAGCGUAAUGUUUUUUGAGAGUUCUUAUCAACAAAAAAGAUUGCGACCUCGAUGUUGGAUUAAGGGAAAGGUUGGGUGUAGAAGUUCAAAUAUUUAGGUCUGUUCGACCUUUAAAUCCUUACGUCAUCUG
RNAcentral lists this ribosomal RNA (532 nucleotides) under Troglophilus alanyaensis. Its description in RNAcentral is "partial 16S ribosomal RNA". It matches the Rfam family "Bacterial large subunit ribosomal RNA", at positions 1809 to 2607 of the family's 2925-position model. Lineage: Eukaryota; Metazoa; Arthropoda; Insecta; Orthoptera; Rhaphidophoridae. The record is from RNAcentral.